CCAAUAGCGUAUAUUAAAGUUGUUGCAGUUAAAAAGCUCGUAGUUGAAUCUCGGGGUUAGUAGGUUGGUCAUGCCACUGGUAUGUACUGGUCUCACUGAUUCCUCCUUCCUGAUGAGCCGUAAUGCCAUUAAUUUGGUGUUGCGAGGAAUCUGGACUGUUACUUUGAAAAAAUUAGAGUGUUUAAAGCAGGCUAACGCUUGAAUACAUUAGCAUGGAAUAAUGAAAUAGGACGUUCGAUCUUAUUUUGUUGGUUUCUAAGAUUGACGUAAUGAUUAAUAGGGAUAGUUGGGGGCAUUAGUAUUCAAUUGUCAGAGGUGAAAUUCUUGGAUUUAUUGAAGACUAACUACUGCGAAAGCAUUUGCCAAGGAUGUUUUCAUUAAUCAAGAACGAAAGUUAGGGGAUCGAAGACGAUCAGAUACCGUCGUAGUCUUAACCAUAAACUAUGCCGACUAGGGAUCGGAUGAUGUUAAUUUUUUAAUGACUCAUUCGGCGCCUUACG
RNAcentral lists this ribosomal RNA (500 nucleotides) under uncultured Glomeromycotina. Its description in RNAcentral is "partial small subunit ribosomal RNA". It matches the Rfam family "Eukaryotic small subunit ribosomal RNA", at positions 591 to 1092 of the family's 1831-position model. Lineage: Eukaryota; Fungi; Glomeromycota. The record is from RNAcentral.